AUGUGCCAGACUGAGAAUAUACGUGCCAGAGGCAAACUAACUUUCAUGUUAGUCCAUGUGAGCUGUAGACAGCAACUGAUGGUUUUUUUUGAGGAUUCCUCUGCACAUGUGUGUAUCCAUCUGCCCAACCACAUCCUAAGGGACCCAGAGAGUGAGAGAAUGAGAGACUGUUUUAUGUCUGUGUAAGCAGUUGUUCCACAUCUACUUUUCUCUGCACCACACUGUAACUAAAAACCUAUUCAUUUAAGUUUUGAAGUAUAUAUUUCAAGCUACAUUCAUUAGGAAUGAAUCUCCUUUCCUUUUCUUUACCACAUUCUUGCAGGGCUCUUGAAGCCUGAGCACUGAGUUCAGGCUUGGCAGAUCCCCACCCCCCUCCAAGGUCCAGGUUCAAGCUGUAUUUGGGUUCUUUUCUGCUGAUGCCUGCAAAUUCAGCAGGCAAGUUCAAGAGAGGAUAGAUGAGCCCUAACACUACUCAGGCCAGGCUCCAUUUCAGAGCUGAAAGGUGACAAAAAGUGCAAAAGUGAAGUUGGUCCAGGAAGGUUUUAAACAGCAAGCCAUAAAUUAUCCCUUUCCCCCCCUUUUUUUCCAUUCCUUUCCCCUUCUCAAGAGAAGGCAUUUCCAGUAAAAGCUAAAUUUGUCUCAGAGAUUGGCUCCAUUCUUUUCAACACUGCUGAAAGCUUUGCUGCUAAGAAGGACCCCUAGUGUUUUUGCCAGGUUUCUCUUCUCUUUCUGGCUUAUGUAUUUUUAUGCAUUUCAUACAUAUACAUACAUAAAUAAUCACACACACAUUAUAUAUAUGUAUGCAUGUAUAGAAACAGUGCAGGGUCAAAUUUUCAACCCAUAUGUCUGAAAGUGUGCACCUAAUCUAUGCUUGGGUUUGCAGGGCUGUCUGUUUCCAAAGGCAUACUGCACCCUGGGGAAAGCUGACUUUUAUAGCCUAAUAAUGACUGUAGACAUACUGAUCGGGAAUACAUGGUUACUUGGCAUACCACUCAAAUAGCAAAGGGCUUUCUGUCCAUGUGACAUGCCAGCUCCCAAGGAGGAUCACACAGGGCUCAAACUACUUAAGAUCUCUAAAGAAAGAUAUAUGGGAAAGGGUCAUAUACAUAUUCUGCUCAGUAAUAUAGGGAAUACAGAGAAUAAUACAAUGAAACUUGAUUAAGUGCAUUAUUGAGAGGUGGAGAAAAUAAAACCAUAUUGAGGACGAGGCA
This 1211-nucleotide long non-coding RNA is filed under the name Anser cygnoides (Swan goose). RNAcentral's name for it is "lncRNA (ENSACDG00005009685.1)". Lineage: Eukaryota; Metazoa; Chordata; Aves; Anseriformes; Anatidae. The record is from RNAcentral.